CAUGCAAGUCGAGCGGUAGAGAGAAGCUUGCUUCUCUUGAGAGCGGCGGACGGGUGAGUAAUGCCUAGGAAUCUGCCUGGUAGUGGGGGAUAACGUUCGGAAACGGACGCUAAUACCGCAUACGUCCUACGGGAGAAAGCAGGGGACCUUCGGGCCUUGCGCUAUCAGAUGAGCCUAGGUCGGAUUAGCUAGUUGGUGGGGUAAUGGCUCACCAAGGCGACGAUCCGUAACUGGUCUGAGAGGAUGAUCAGUCACACUGGAACUGAGACACGGUCCAGACUCCUACGGGAGGCAGCAGUGGGGAAUAUUGGACAAUGGGCGAAAGCCUGAUCCAGCCAUGCCGCGUGUGUGAAGAAGGUCUUCGGAUUGUAAAGCACUUUAAGUUGGGAGGAAGGGUUGUAGAUUAAUACUCUGCAAUUUUGACGUUACCGACAGAAUAAGCACCGGCUAACUCUGUGCCAGCAGCCGCGGUAAUACAGAGGGUGCAAGCGUUAAUCGGAAUUACUGGGCGUAAAGCGCGCGUAGGUGGUUAGUUAAGUUGGAUGUGAAAUCCCCGGGCUCAACCUGGGAACUGCAUUCAAAACUGACUGACUAGAGUAUGGUAGAGGGUGGUGGAAUUUCCUGUGUAGCGGUGAAAUGCGUA
Molecule: ribosomal RNA, 643 nt
Filed under: uncultured earthworm cast bacterium
Lineage: Bacteria
Description: bacterial SSU rRNA
Rfam family: Bacterial small subunit ribosomal RNA
Source: RNAcentral